GACGAACGCUGGCGGCGUGCUUAACACAUGCAAGUCGAACGGAAAGGCCCUUCGGGGUACUCGAGUGGCGAACGGGUGAGUAACACGUGGGUGAUCUGCCCUGCACUUUGGGAUAAGCCUGGGAAACUGGGUCUAAUACCGAAUAGGACCACGCGCUUCAUGGUGUGUGGUGGAAAGCUUUUGCGGUGUGGGAUGGGCCCGCGGCCUAUCAGCUUGUUGGUGGGGUAAUGGCCUACCAAGGCGACGACGGGUAGCCGGCCUGAGAGCGUGACCGGCCACACUGGGACUGAGAUACGGCCCAGACUCCUACGGGAGGCAGCAGUGGGGAAUAUUGCACAAUGGGCGCAAGCCUGAUGCAGCGACGCCGCGUGAGGGAUGACGGCCUUCGGGUUGUAAACCUCUUUCAAUAGGGACGAAGCGCAAGUGACGGUACCUAUAGAAGAAGCACCGGCCAACUCCGUG
RNAcentral lists this ribosomal RNA (462 nucleotides) under uncultured bacterium. RNAcentral's name for it is "partial 16S ribosomal RNA". It matches the Rfam family "Bacterial small subunit ribosomal RNA", at positions 28 to 507 of the family's 1533-position model. The record is from RNAcentral.